GAUGAACGCUGGCGGCGUGCCUAACACAUGCAAGUCGAACGAAGCGCUAUAGUUGGAUUCUUCGGAAAAAGAGUAUAGUGACUGAGUGGCGGACGGGUGAGUAACGCGUGGGCAACCUGCCCCAUACAGGGGGAUAACAGUUAGAAAUGACUGCUAAUACCGCAUAAGCGCACGGCAACGCAUGUUGCUGUGUGAAAAACUCCGGUGGUAUGGGAUGGACCCGCGUCUGAUUAGCCAGUUGGCAGGGUAACGGCCUACCAAAGCGACGAUCAGUAGCCGGCCUGAGAGGGUGGACGGCCACAUUGGGACUGAGACACGGCCCAA
This 324-nucleotide ribosomal RNA is filed under the name uncultured bacterium. RNAcentral's name for it is "bacterial SSU rRNA". It matches the Rfam family "Bacterial small subunit ribosomal RNA", at positions 28 to 334 of the family's 1533-position model. The record is from RNAcentral.